RNAcentral lists this ribosomal RNA (529 nucleotides) under uncultured bacterium. RNAcentral describes it as "bacterial SSU rRNA". It matches the Rfam family "Bacterial small subunit ribosomal RNA", at positions 355 to 902 of the family's 1533-position model. The record is from RNAcentral.
UGGGGAAUCUUGGACAAUGGGGGCAACCCUGAUCCAGCCAUGCCGCGUGAGUGAUGAAGGCCUUAGGGUCGUAAAGCUCUUUCGCCUGUGAAGAUAAUGACGGUAGCAGGUAAAGAAACCCCGGCUAACUCCGUGCCAGCAGCCGCGGUAAUACGGAGGGGGUUAGCGUUGUUCGGAAUUACUGGGCGUAAAGCGCACGUAGGCGGACCAGAAAGUUGGGGGUGAAAUCCCAGGGCUCAACCCUGGAACUGCCUUUCAUACUGGCGAUCUGGAGUUCGAGAGAGGUGAGUGGAAUUCCGAGUGUAGAGGUGAAAUUCGUAGAUAUUCGGAGGAACACCAGUGGCGAAGGCGGCUCACUGGCUCGAUACUGACGCUGAGGUGCGAAAGUGUGGGGAGCAAACAGGAUUAGAUACCCUGGUAGUCCACGCCGUAAACGAUGAGUGCUAGAUGUUGGGAUUUUCGGAUUUCAGUGUCGCAGCUAACGCAUUAAGCACUCCGCCUGGGGAGUACGGCCGCAAGGUUAAAACUC